Molecule: long non-coding RNA, 621 nt
Filed under: Homo sapiens (human)
Lineage: Eukaryota; Metazoa; Chordata; Mammalia; Primates; Hominidae
Description: HSALNT0200820
Source: RNAcentral
CAAUGAUUUUCUUCCCAACUAUUAAGAAGAGAAAUAAUGUGAAAGAGGAAUCUUUUCUGAGACAUGUUCACAAGCAGUGUGCCGGUUUGGACAAAAAAUUCUAUGGUCAUCCUAACUGAAGAUCAGGAUGGCUGAUUAAAUAAUAAAAAGCAUAUAUGUUCUCAUCUGGUGUGGACUGCAAACGUGUUUGGAUGGCAAAGAUAAAUCUUGCCAAGUUUCACCCAUGUGCAACUAAGCUCAUCGACUGAUUGACUCUUGGCUGGCUAGAAUCUUGGGCAGCCCAACUCAGACUGUUUGCAACCAGACUUCUCAGCUUUGGUGUUGUAAAAACUGAAGGCAGCUAAUCCCAGAGAAGCAUUUACAAUUUGCCCAAUGAGCCAAAAGAACUUAAUUUGACUCUCUCUUGUUUGGUUACUUUCUCCUCUCGCCUUAUUAUCAAGUCCUGUACUGCUCAAUUCAGUGACCACUAGCCAUAUGUGGCUACUGAGCACUUGAAAUGUGGCUAGUUUGAACUGAGAUGUGCUCUAAGUACACUGGAUUUUGAAGACUUUGUACAAAAAAAAAGUAAACUAUCCCAUUAAUAAUUUUUGUAUUGAUUACAUAUUAAAAUGGUAAUAUUUC